RNAcentral lists this Y RNA (112 nucleotides) under Propithecus coquereli (Coquerel's sifaka). RNAcentral describes it as "Y RNA (ENSPCOG00000004391.1)". It matches the Rfam family "Y RNA". Rfam says of the family: Y RNAs are components of the Ro ribonucleoprotein particle (Ro RNP), in association with Ro60 and La proteins. The Y RNAs and Ro60 and La proteins are well conserved, but the function of the Ro RNP is not known. In humans the RNA component can be one of four small RNAs -- hY1, hY3, hY4 and hY5. The record is from Rfam by way of RNAcentral. Lineage: Eukaryota; Metazoa; Chordata; Mammalia; Primates; Indriidae.
GGCUGGUCUGAGUGCAGUGGUGUUUACAACUAAUUGAUCACAACCAGUUACAGAUAUCUUUGUUCCUUCUCCACACGCACUGCUUCGCACUGCUUCAUCUGACUAGCCUUUA